UCAUUCCCCUGCAAUGUCACUGCUCAAUUCACUGUCAUUUAGGCGUUAAAUCACUUUGUUUCUGUUUAUGCAGCCCUAGCCACACCUCCCCUGGCUAUGAUUGACAGAGCCUGCAUGAAAAAAAAAAAACUGGUUUCACUUUCCAACAGAUGUAAUUUACCUUAAAUAAUUGUAUCUCAAUCUCUAAAUUGAACUUUAAUCACAUACAGGAGGCUCUUGCAGGGUCUAGCAAGCUAUUAAC
This is a non-coding RNA of Pelobates cultripes (western spadefoot toad), 241 nucleotides long. The record is from the annotation of a GenBank genome assembly. Lineage: Eukaryota; Metazoa; Chordata; Amphibia; Anura; Pelobatidae.